RNAcentral lists this long non-coding RNA (6426 nucleotides) under Lathyrus oleraceus (garden pea). RNAcentral describes it as "Pisum sativum (pea) long non-coding RNA (PSAT_LNC038204)". The record is from RNAcentral. Lineage: Eukaryota; Viridiplantae; Streptophyta; Magnoliopsida; Fabales; Fabaceae.
UACAGAAAUCAACCGAGGAAUAAUAGUUGACACAAAAGAACAAUCAUUUAAAACCCUAACAAAAUAAUAGUAGACAGUAACUUCCAAGGUCAAAACUAACAAAAACCAAAUCAAACGUAAGAAUCAAGAAAGCAAAAAGUCAACAGCAUGAAGAUCAAUCAAGAGGAAAAUAGAACUAGAAGAAAUCGUCUGUUAACAUAUUAAAUAUCCUACAACACCACCAGAGAGUAAACACCAAAUCAAAGAAGAUAUGGUUUCAGAACCAAAAGAUAUAAUCAACAUAAAAAGAAUUUAAUGGAGAUCACCAAAUCAAAAAUUGAAAUGCUAAACUCCAUGCUCUGAAGAAGGUUAUUAGUUGGACACAACCACGCUGCAGAAAAACACGUUCAAAAAUCAACUUGUAUGCGUUGCAAUCAAAGACCGGAAAUAAAAAUAGUAAAGAAUGACCCAUAAAAAAUUGAUUUAGCUAUCUGGAGUUAUUUUCCAUUCUGGUUGUUGUAUCAAGGCAUUCUGGAUAUCCACCAUAUUUCUCAGCUUUCUGCGAAACGGGAUAAAUGCAUCUCCCUGCAAAACUCACACAGCUCAAAGAAUCCGACAAAAGUAGAUGUUGUGUAUCAAAUCAAACAAAGACUAAAGCGUAAAAGUCUUGGUAGUGAUGACCAAACUAAAGUGCAGCCAUAGUAGGAAGCGUCAGUAUCUGACACAUGACAUUGAGAAGUGCUUGGGCUGUAUCAAAGAUUCAAAGAUGGUAUCUAAUUCCAUAAUUUGCACUUAGCCAAAGAUGUAAGUCCCUGAUAACAGAAACACAAAAACCUCAACACGGAAGAAACACAAACUUCAACAACUUAUACAAGAUCAAAAGAAAACUUCAAGAAAAAUACGCUCUCAGAAUUGAAAACAAAAAUAAUUUAAUAGAUAUCACCAAAUCAAAAAGCUAGGCUGAUGUAUGCUUCGAAGAAGAUUUAGAACAUUCAAUUAUAAGUAUUCCAUACUGAAACAAUGUAAGGCUGAAGACGAAGACGACUAUCGCAGUAAGACACUCGUUUUGAGGUAAGAGGGGUACCUGCAAAAAAGGUUAGCACUCCGACGCUCAAGUUAGUAUAUGAAUGAAGUGAAACUUUACAAAUAUGAAUAAAAAAAUACCUGAUUGGGAUGCAGAAUCACACAUAUAUAUAGUAGAGAUACUACUCAUCUUUGGUUUGUCUAGCAUGAAGUGUAGACUACCAAGUAGUUGUAGAUCAACAAUUGAGAUGAAAGAGGGCCGGUGUUCUUGUCCGUUUACCAAUAUUUAGCAGAGUGAACGUCUAGAUUAGAUUACACAUAAAGAUUGCUGCAAAUCUUAAUGAACUUCUGACUAAUCCAGUAAGCAUCAUAAAAAAAGGAAUGGCAUACUCCAAAAUUAAAGAUGUAUAUUAUAUAUAUUGUUGUAUGAUGGGCUAUUAAUGUAAAAUAAUCGCGAUAAUGGUGCUAUCAUCUGAAAGAUGUAUAUUAUAUAUAUUGUUGUAUGAUGGGCUAUUAAUGUAAAAUAAUCGCGAUAAUGGUGCUAUCAUCUGAUAAUUAUAUACCAAAACUGCUUUGUCAAUCAUCUGAUAAUAUAUCUUGCGCUUAAAGAUGUGUACUGUAUCCACUAACAAACACCACAUUACUAUAUUGAAUUCCAAAAUCUAUAUAAAUCACAAUGAUCUUCAAAUUAAAUAUAACAAUAAAGAAUAAAGUAUCUAUAUACAAAUAGAUAUCUUCAGAUUUUUUGACAUAGAUCUUCUGAUUAAAAUCUAGAAAUAGUGAGAACAUAGGACACAACCAACAGAAUAUUUAUGUUUGGAACAAUUGCCAUCAAAUUGCAUAUUUUGGAUCUCAAUAUGAGCACAAUUUACCUUACCAAACACCAGAUGGAGAUACUUCCCCAAACCACGCUGUUCACUCUACAAAGUGAAACAAGUUUUCUACAGAAAUGUAUAUGACUCAAAUUCCUUAGAGAUUAUCUUACAGUCUGCAGAACAUGAUGGUUCUAAUAAUGAAUUCUGGUGCCCAAUGAAAUCCUUAGAGAGGAAACGAAUUCCUAUUCCAAUAAAUCAGAAAUAAAAGAAACAAACAGUAAAAGAGUGCAAGAAUAACUCUCUUCAGAUGUAGAUCAUCAAAUCAAACACGGCCACAAUUUGCUUAAAAACGGAGAAGGUAGCGAGAAGAGAUAUGCUCCACAAUUCUGUUCAGCAUUAUGCAUGCAAUCCAGGGAGGACUAUUGUGGAACAAAUAUACACAGUCCAUAUGAAACGGAAAAAAUUUCAGCAUCCCCACUUCAAUAAAUAUCCACUAGGGAGAAUGUAGAAAAAUGUGAGCCAAAUCAAGUCGUCAAGAAUUCCUUGGCUCGGCCAUAAAGAUGUACUUCAGUCUAGAAACUGGUAUGCUUCAAAUAUUAUGCUCCUGCUACAAAAUUACAAAUACAAAAACUCCCAACACUCCCAGAACACACCAUAAAAAAAAUACAGAUAUCAUAUAAAAGAAGGAUUGUAUUUGUAUCCCAACGUUGGAAGAAUAGUAUGUUAACCUCUGUUGCCGAAUAGCAUGUUAAACUAUGUUGCCACAAGCCAUAUGGCACAGCACACCAGACUUUCAUAUGGGUUGUCUCUGUCUCCCCUAUAACACUCCAAAAAAUUCAAAAAACUAUGUUGCCACAAGCCAUAUGGCACAGCACACCAGACUUUCAUAUGGGUUGUCUCUGUCUCCCCUAUAACACUCCAAAAAAUUCAAAGGAAUUCAAAAUUGCCGAGUAUCAAACACACUGAAGUAUGAAGAGUCUUCUUAGUAGAAAUGACCAAAGUAUAGAAUACAACAUAACCUCUAAAGACAUAAUGGUUCGUGGACAUAAAUAUCCAGCCAAUUUGCAAGUACUUGUAUCCAAUAUGAAACAUGACAGUUUGAGCUUCCACCUAAUACCAAAGGAUCUAUUGUCAAAUCGUACCUAACCAAGAUGCCCAAAUUAAACCCUAGAAAAUAUAUACACCAGCUACCACAACAUUUUGAAUGAGUUAUCCUUUUUAAUUCGUUCACCAAAGAUAAUUUAUACAAAGCAGCAGAGACACUCAUCUCCAAUUUCUCCACUAUAGACCAAAUAAAAAUGUGAGUGUGAUUCAGAAUUAAGAAAACUUUUGUUGUACAGCAAAGUUACUCUGUCAGCAACAUACGAUAAAUGUACAGAAAAAUUAAACUGCCAAAUAGGUUGUAGAAAAAGGACCCAAGAAGAAAGAAAGAAUAUAGCAUAACUCUCCAAACCAAGUUGCAGAUCCAGAUAACAGAGAGAGGCCCACCAAUUUGUCCGAAUGUCUAGAAAAUUAUGUAAACUUUUGCACUUUCUGAAUACAAAAACCCAAAUGUAGAACAAACAUUUGUAAGACAAAAGUAGUAAUGAUUAAAAACCCUUAAGACUGAUCUUUUCAAUUAAACAUCAAUAGACAAACUAAAACUAAAAGAUCCAGUUGGAAAUCAUAAAGGAAUUAAUAAGAAGCCUAGACAAAAAGAAUCAGCAGAGAAGAAAUCAAAUGAAAAUAUCUCAGUACCAAAAAAACUAGAGCCAUAUUUCAAUUCACAUGUAUGGCAAUAAAAUCCAGAACAAAAUGAAACCUCAAUAUCAAGAAACCAUAAAGGAACCAUAAUACAAAACCCGAAGAAUAAUAUGCUCACAAACUACUUUUCCUGAAACACCAGAGAAAAUAAAAGAUCAAGAAUAAUAUUUUUUUAAAAGGAAUAAAUUUUUUUAGAAAACUAAAAAGAGAUUUUACAAGAGUUCACCAAAUCAAAACGCAGGCUCCAUGAUCUAUUGAAAAUUAUACUGACAAACCAAGCUGCAAAAAAAAGGUUUAAAAUUCAAAUAGUAUGUCUUGUGAUCAAAGUCUGAAAAUAAAAAUAAUAAAGAAUUGCAAUCAUAAUCCUUCUUAUCCAUGGUAAUCAAGAAGUGCAAACUGAUCCAGAUACCUCGAAAUCAGCUCACUACAAUACAGAUAAUCACAUGUCAAUAUUCUUUUAAUUUUAAGAGCAUUGAAUGUUUAGCAAAUGAAGCAUUAUUAUAUAGAAAAACUACACAAAUUAUCAAAAUAGAAUUCAAAGAACAAUCAAUUAAAACCCAAACAAGACCAUUAAAAAAAGAAGAGCAAACUCCAAGAUCAAACCCCUUCAUCAUAAGACCCAAUGUAACCAAGGAAAAGAGAGAGUAGGAAUAUAAAAACUUGAAUAUCAAAGAAGAGGAAGAUUGAAUCCGAAGGAAUUGUGAUCAUAUAUUCCUAUAUAUUACAUCUCCUGUAACACCAAAGAGGAAGAUAACAGAUAUAUGCUCUCAGAAUUGAUAAAGAAAUACUAUGAUAAAGAAAUACUGAAACGGAAAGUGACAAGAGAAGCUCUGCACUAUUAAGAACAUUAUUUUACCAUGCCUUACUAAGAGAAGUCAAACUCCUGUGACGCCAACAUAGAACUCAUGCAAGAAUUCAAUCAGAGGAGAUCACAACAUGAAAGAACAACAACAGCUGCAAAUUGCAGAUUCUGGUGCUACUGCAAUUGCAGAUUUUGUGGGGGACACUCAUUUGGGAAAAAAAUCUUACAACCUUAAGACAGAAAAUUCAAACCAAAACUCCAGAGAGUUGCCAACAAAUUAAACUCAAAACAACAUACGUACAGAAAUCAUAAGAAUAAUAGUUGAAGCAAAAGAACAGUCAUUUAAAACCCUAACAAAAUAAUAGUAGACAGUUACUUCCAAGGUCAAAACUAACAAAAACCAAAUCAAACCUAAGAAUCAAGAAACCGAAAAAUUAACAGCCUUCUCAAACAAGAGGAAAAUAGAACUAGAAGAAAUCGUCCGUUAAGAUAUUAAAUAUCCUGCAACACCAGAGAGUGAACACCAAAUCAAGGAAGAUAUGGUUUCAGAACCGAGAUAAUUAAAAUAAAAAAGAACUUAAUAGAGAUCACCAAAUUAAAAAUUGAAAUGCUAAGCUCCAUGCUCUGAAGAAGGUUAUUAGUUGGAGACAACCACGCUGCAGAAAAACACGUUCAGAAAUCAACUUGUAUGCCUUGCAAUCAAAGACCGGAAAUAAAAAUAGUAAAGAAUGACCCAUAAAAAAUUGAUUUAGCUAUCUGGAGUUAUUUUCCGUUCUGGUUGUUGUAUCAAGGCAUUCUGGAUAUCCACCAUAUGCCUUGCAAUCAAAGACCGGAAGAGUUGGUAUCUGACACAUGACACAGCAAUGCUUGGGCUGUAUCAAAGAUUCAAAGAUGGUAUCUAAUUCCAUAAUUUGCACUUAGCCAAAGAUCUAAGUCCCUGAUAACAGAAACACAAAAACCUCAACACUGAAGAAACACAAACUUCAACAACUUAUACAAGAUCAAAAGAAAACUUCAAGAAAAAUAAGCUCUCAGAAUUGAAAACAAAAAUAAUUUUGUAGAUAUCACCAAAUCAAAAAGCUAGGCUGAUGCAUGCUUCGAAGAAGGUUAUUGUUUUGACAAAGCAAGCUGCUGCUGCAGCAAAACAGGUUCGAAGUUAAAGACUUGUUGAAGAAGUUAAAUUUAUCUAUCUGGAGCUGUUCUAUGUUCUUAAGGUUUUAGAUAUGAAGCUAAUCCUGGCUUUGCUGCAUAAUGGUUAAACAUAUCUCUUACUUAUCAAAUGAAAACUUGUGUCAAGUCAGUUUCAUGUGUGUGCUUCAACAAUCUGAAGCAUGCAUUGCAAAUCCAUUAAGAAAACGCGAUCAGCAACCUGAACGCAACGCAAAUCCAUCAAGUAAACACGAUCAGCCAUCUAAGAAAACAUAUAACACGCAACUACUAAUUCCAUUAAGAAAACACGACCAGCAACGCAAAUCCAUUAAGAAAAUACGAUCAGCAAUCUAAGAAAACUUAUCCAGCCGCAACGAAACCCAUUAAGGAAACACUAUCAGCAAUCUUACGCAACGCAAAUCCAUUAAGAAAACACAAUCAGCAAUCUGAGGAAGACGCAACGCAAAUCCAUUAAGAAAACACAAUCAGCAAUCUGAGGAAGACGCAACGCAAAUCCAUUACGAAAACACGAUGCAACGAAAUCCAUUACGGAAACACGAUCAUCAAUCAGCAAUCUGAGAAACGCAACGCAAAACCAUUAAGAAAACACGAUCAACAAACCCUAACAUCAAGCCAUGACGAAGCAAACAAUCUGGAAAAUUCGAGAAAUAAAAAUUAUUGAAGAAAUUUGAUUUCUCUAAAGCCAUUCUCAAUCAAGCAAACAAGUAGAACUUAAAAGAAGAACAAACGAGAGAAAGAUAUAACAAGCUAUUUUUGGUAUUUCGGAACGAGGGUAGAGAGGUUUAUAUAGAAGGUAGGAUCGAGAUUAAUGCGGUGUAAUCACGGAUGGAGGAAAAUUUGACGGCCAAGAUGCAAUUAAAAUAAAACUGUUUCGCGGUUUUCUCUGAAUAACGC